RNAcentral lists this long non-coding RNA (1925 nucleotides) under Salvia miltiorrhiza (redroot sage). Its description in RNAcentral is "long non-coding RNA (SMIL_LNC008263)". The record is from RNAcentral. Lineage: Eukaryota; Viridiplantae; Streptophyta; Magnoliopsida; Lamiales; Lamiaceae.
CGAGAUACAAUACUUAUUAGAUUAAUCUGUAUUUGAUUAAGUACACGAUAUUAGCAAAACACGAAAUCAGUAUUACAAAUACAGAACGACCAACACUGAAGGAUUUUAUUAAAUCACAUCACACUUUUAAUUCUUUACAAUCAACUUGUUACUCUAUACCUCUACUACAUCCUGUUCUUCUACCUGCAACAAAAAAGAGGAGAAAAGGGAGAAGUACUCCCUACAACUACUACAGCUGCUGCAACAAAGGGAAAGAAGAAGGAAAACAGGGGGGGAGGAUGGUUGGAGCAUGGGGCAGCUGCUGCUACAGUUCCCAGCAGCCCCCUCUACAGCUACACACUCUCUCUUCCUCUCCAGCCACCCUCCUCUGCAGCCAAACAACAGCAGCCUUACCUUAGGCUGUCAUCUCAGCCACUCUACAACCAUACUCCUUCCUUUUAGCACACUCAAGUGCACAUCAACCAAGCUCCUAGUAUUAAUUCACUCUUCAAUCCUUGAGCCACCCUUCCUCUUUCAACACUUUGAAUUUCAGCAGCAACAACAGGAUUCUGCACUCCAUCUUUGCCAAGAAUUCCAAGAAGGUAAUCCUUGGCUUUAAUGCUCCCACCUUUAUGUUCAUUUCACCUGCAUUGAUGAACAACAAUCACUAAUUACCUCAGCUUCCAAUCAUUUUAUUUAAUGCUCACAACCAACAACAAUUAUUCUAUUUCAGUUUCCAUCCCCUGUAUUUAAUUCAACACAGCAGCAAACAGCCACCACAUCCAUAUCCUCAAGGUAAUUAUUAUCCCAGUUUACUCUCUCCAUUCACAUGCUUCACAUUCACAUCCCAACAAAACCUAUGUUUAGUAUAAGUGCUGAGAUAUUGAUUGAUGGCAUAUUACUGCUAUAGAAUCAUCAGACUAGAAUCCUUAAACAAGGCAAAUGCAUCAAGAAAUACUAAAUAGCAUGAGAACCAAAAGAACACGCCACUAGCCCUUGCAUAAACAGUAUAGAGAACUGAAACUUCAAGUAGACAAGCUUCGAACUUAGCAUUUAGAAUGGAAGAAAGACUCUUUUCGGUACCUGUUUAUUUUUUUCAAACGGAGUUUGAGCUGAGAGGGAGCGACUGCCCAGCUCCGUCCAGCCGAAGAGAAAAACGGCGGCAGAGCCCUACUGUUCGGCGGAAGAAUAUUCCUCGCUGGAGUCCAACUGUGGCGGUAACCUCAUCGGAGCCCUAGAGAGACAGGGGAUGCGGUGGAAUCUCGCCGGAACUGUUCACGUGACGUGGCCGUGGCUCUACUCCUCGCUGGACGAAAUCGCGGAGCCUAGGGUCAGCAACACAAAACCCAUGGCGGUGGCGAAUUCUAAGCACGAAGCUAGGGCUCGUCCUAUGAGAGAUGAGAGAUUACAGAAGAGAACGGCGCAGAGCGGCGCUGUACCUUCAGAACCACGGAGGCGGUCUGAUCCGUUGGGUUUUGCAAACAGAGUCACCGAACAUCACAAGAUGGUGGCGGACGGACCUUUGAUGAAAAAAUUAGGGCUCUAUUUGUGGCUUCAUCGCGAGAAUUGAGAAAGGAAAGAGUUAGGGUUCGGUUCCUGUUUUCGAUUAAGCAUGCCUGAGUCUAACUUGAGUAGAGAGAGGGUAGGGCCGUUGAAGACGUCGGCUUCGCCGGAUUAUCAGAAACCGCAGCGGCGGAUUUUGGUGAGAGAAUGGACGAAUUUUGAAAAGAGAGGGGAGGGCUGAGUCAGUCGAUAACUGGAGAGAAAAAAAAAAAGGGAUGGGCUGAGCUUUCUUAAUUGAUUCAUGAGCUUAUCUGGGCCGAUUUCUUUUGGGCUGCUAUAUAUUAAGUGGGCUACGUUUUUAUUCAUUCAAAUUGGNGCCUUUUAUUAAGUGGAUUGGAUUGCAGAUUUUAGAAGUGGGCAGCUAUAGUUAUUUGAUUGGGCCA